UACUACGUCAAUGAAGAAUAUUUCUACCAUGCAAGGUCAAUAGUUGAUAAAAUAUUUUGGCUCCGGAGCAGCGCCGCGGCGUUUCUCCCAUCGCCGCCUGGAUUCAUUGAUCAUCACCUUCGUUAGCUCGAAGUCUCGGUGGGUCGUUUCGCACUAGCGAGUUUGCUGCUGAGAUGCGUGACAAUGGGGUGAGCACUUCCCAGUGUGGUUUUCUGGAUUUUUUCGGGGUGAGUCAUGACACGGCGUCACUCGUUCUAGGAUUCGUUUCUGAUUCACGCCAAAAAUAAAAUAAAAUAAAAGCUUUUAAUGCAAAGCUACACUUGCGUCCCUUCUUUGCUUGGUUCACAAUCGGUUCGUUUCCGUUGCUUCGUUCGAUGAUUUGGUCUUCGGCUCUGAAGCUGCUCUUGAAUUCUCCUCAGCGGUCGGUGGGCUUUGUUGGGCUUGGUCUCGUCGUACUGCGGGCAGGGUUGAUUAUCCCGAGUGUGAUCGUUGCUGGUGCUUAGUCUCUGUGUGCGUUGCAUUGUAUUACCUUGGUAUUUGCCGAUAGCUGCUGGUGCUGGUCUUAUCAGCCUGUUCUUGAAGAAGGGAAAUGUUCUCACUUCGUCCGAUACUGUUGAGAACGCAUAUUCUUGUGAAUGGCAAGACCAGAGGUGUGUAGUUUAGCGAUGUCCCUGUUCCGAUAUGUUACAAUCUGUAGGCUGGAGAUUCCUUGUGCCCUGUUAAGGACGUUUGAUGGUUCAUUGAGUAACCCCGUUGGUCCCUGUGAUUAUCCUCGCUCAAAAACCUCGAACUUAGCACAAAAGUUCAAGGUUUCAUCUAACCUCAGGGGAAUGUGAAAAAAUUGCUGAACAUUAUUGGGCAAACAGUCGACCAAACAUAUUUAAUGAAGCGAGUAGUGCAUGUUCACAAAAUUAUGAGAAUGUUUGUACUCGCGAUGAUGGUAGAUUCUUCGGAGUCUUGGCGUUGUGUGUAACCUUGAAGAGCAGGAAAUGAAGCUGUAAUUGUAUUAGGGUUCUAACACAUCUCUUGUUAGUAGGAAGUGUUUAUUUGUUAAAUUCCGUUGAAAAUGCUAUAUCAAUAUUGUACUCUUUUGCUAUGCUUCGUGCUUGAGAAACCUAUAAAAUGGGGAUCUUCAAUUGAGAUUCUUGCUCCAGGAUCACCACUCCAAGCAGAGAGAGAGAGAGAGAGAGAGAGAGAGAGCUGCAAUUACCUCUGAAAACCUAACUGCAGAGUGGGAGAAUGUAGAUCCUAUCGUUAUAGGUUGGGAUAAGUGCUCACUCCUCCCUCAGCCUUGGUGUUGGAAUUCAAUGCCUUAAGCCAUUUACAAUCAUUUCACAGGCAAGAACAUAAGAUUUUUUUUCAUGCAUCUAUCCGUUCCAAAGGUUUGUUGUCUCGACUUAAGGCUGCGAUGCAUGUAGCCGGAAUAUAUUGUUUCUGGGUCGACUUCUCUUUUGAAGGGCCUAUAAUGAACAUGAUAUUAUGGUGGACACCACAGAUAUCGAUCAAGUGACUGUUAAACACAAUAUAUUCCGGCUACCCCUGUAUUCUCAAGAGUUGAGUAACUGGACAGAAAAGGGCGUCCUUCAGAUGAGUGCGGAAAUCUGGCCAUAAAGCAUGCUGCUAAGGCGGUGCUGUCAAUUGUGAGGCAGGACAAUCGAAGAGUUUCGAAUUUGAAACCUGCCCCACAAUGGUCUGUAACAUCUUCCAGAUGAACCUGAAACACAAAUCUGGCGAGUGGUGGUACUGUUCUGUGCUCUACAAGCUGGAACGAACUUGAUGAACUUCUAUUUCCAGUGUACUAUUUUGGCACCUUCUCAGGAGACCCUUGGCGCUGUACGACACAACGCAAGGGACUCGGGAGUUUCUACCUUGUUAUGCAGGAACCACCGGGCAGGCAAAAGGAUUGGCUGGGCUAUGCCAAGUGAAAGGAAUCGAGAGCUCCGGUUUUAAUAUGGAUCAAGAGCUCCUUCGAAAGCAGAGCAACAGGAAUGGGCUUAUUUUGACUCAGAUUUGAACACCAGUUUUUUGCAGCAUUCUGGGGUGGAAUAUUGGAUACUCGUGCAUGAAAAGCUCGGCGACUUUGGAGGUUUAUGUGGAAAUAUGCCUUGGAAAAAAAAGCAGAAAACAGGUAACAGUUGACGCUUCUCCAUCACCUUAUGCACAGUAGUAAUGCGUUUGUCCUCGAUCUGGUCAUGAAGCUGUCAACAGGAAUUUGAAGGCAGAUGGGGAGACCAAGCAUAUGUUUGGACAGCAGGGCGACUGGGCUAUGAAUUCCCUCCCUCAUUCAUAUAUAUAUAUAUAUAUAUAUAUGUGUGUAUGUGUGUGUGUGUGUUAAAUUACAACUAGAUAGUAAAGACCUGACAUUUCAAACUUUACAGUGUAUGUUGUUUUUUGGCUCGGCUGUAGAGGAAUAAUGCAGCAUGAGUAUGUCUGUGGGCAGAGUAUUUGCUCAUUUUAUCCCACUGUCGAUGUUAUUUAAUUGUUAUGCAAUCCAUGUACAAAUGUUCUAUGUGA
This is a non-coding RNA of Physcomitrium patens, 2514 nucleotides long. Lineage: Eukaryota; Viridiplantae; Streptophyta; Bryopsida; Funariales; Funariaceae. The record is from RefSeq and is a predicted model, not a curated record.